Molecule: long non-coding RNA, 648 nt
Organism: Cygnus olor (mute swan)
Lineage: Eukaryota; Metazoa; Chordata; Aves; Anseriformes; Anatidae
Exons: 3
Source: RefSeq, a predicted model, not a curated record
CCAGAAAAAGCUUGGAGCUCGGCGGCCCAGACUAAUCAAAAAAUGGAAUAACAUGACAACAAUUACACUGAUGAGUGAGAGGGAAGCUACGGAUGCAUUCAGACACCUAUGGCACUGCAGACUGGAUGCAUUCAGCAUUUUUGUUUAGUGUCUUGUGUUUUUUAAGAGCAGUCGAAGUGGGAAGAAGAAUAAUGCCUGGCUGACAGGAUAUCAUCAAAGGACACAGGUGCUGCUUCUCCACGGACAAGAAUCCGCAAGCUGCACAUUCUUCUUUAAACUGCUGUGGCAGGUAGUCUGGUGCCAGCAACGAGAGUGGUUCCUCUGACACCCAGAGAAAUAGGCUGCCAGGAGGAGUCUUGUUGGGCUUGCAGAGCAGUGUCAAGUCAGCAGUGCACCACAGAAAGAAUCUGCUCAAGUACCAAGGGUCAUGCUGCGGUCCUUGGGGCCAUGGUGUGGGUCUCCAAGCUUGGCCAGUUGCUGAUAAGAAGAGUUCAUCAAGUCAUCAGGGCCUUGAAUAAUGGAAGGUCUAGUUCAUAUCUUCAGGUGAAAAUGGGUAUGUUAAGUGAGGACUUUGUCCAGAAGCUGUUAUUUCUGUGCUCUAGAUCUAAUUCCCACAAUGUUUAUGUGUGGUGACCUGCAGUUUUAAGU